Molecule: transfer RNA, 63 nt
Filed under: Schistocephalus solidus
Lineage: Eukaryota; Metazoa; Platyhelminthes; Cestoda; Diphyllobothriidea; Diphyllobothriidae
Rfam family: tRNA
About the family: Transfer RNA (tRNA) molecules are approximately 80 nucleotides in length. Their secondary structure includes four short double-helical elements and three loops (D, anti-codon, and T loops).
Source: Rfam by way of RNAcentral
GGCCUCGUAGCUCAGUUGACUAGAGCUCAGUUUCUGGCGUGGGUUCGAAUCCCACCUAGGUCC